UACAGAGGGGGCGAGCGUUGUUCGGAAUUACUGGGCGUAAAGGGCGCGUAGGCGGCCUUCUAAGUCGAACGUGAAAUCCCCGGGCUCAACCCGGGAACUGCGUCCGAUACUGGGAGGCUUGAAUCCGGGAGAGGGAUGUGGAAUUCCAGGUGUAGCGGUGAAAUGCGUAGAUAUCAGGAGGAACACCGGUGGCGAAGGCGGCCCUCUGGACGGUGACUGACGCUGAGACGCGAAAGCGUGGGGAGCAAACAGG
Molecule: ribosomal RNA, 253 nt
Filed under: uncultured bacterium
Lineage: Bacteria
Description: partial 16S ribosomal RNA
Rfam family: Bacterial small subunit ribosomal RNA
Source: RNAcentral